AGGUAAAUAUUCCUCACGCCAGCAGGUGAGGAGGCUGGGGCCAGAUGACUGCUAGUGAGGGAGCAGAGACAAGACAGGCGAGCCUGUGACAGAGCGAGACCCUGUCUCAAAAAACAAAAACAAGACAUGUGAGCUUGGACUCCAGUGUGGAAUCCCAUGUCCGCUCAGUGCACCUUUCUCCCGCUGAAAGUACAAGAGGAGAGGGGAAACCCACAGGUGGAGCUGACCAUGAGGACUGUCACAGGUGAGGGUGAGAGGAAGCUGGAGAUGGAAGAUGCAGCUGGGGGAACUCACCAGGCAGGUCUCAGGGAACUCUUUGAAUAAGAGGACACCAGAUCAUGCCUGCAGUUCCAGACCAGGGUGAGGUUGAAACACUUAUGCUUCCUAUUUAAAGCCACAUCUCAUUCAUCAUUUCAGCACCAAUCAGCAAUUAAACCUGAUUCAAUGGAGCCCUGACAGCUAAUUUAAACCGAGCCUCACAAUCGGCCUGACACUGGCUAUUUAAGACUCUGUCCUGGCCUCUGGGGCCUUUCGGAACCAGGACUGUUUGUCCUGCCAAGAGCAAAGCCCCACCCGCUGUGGCCUGGAUCCCCAUGUAUGUAGUGUGCAGGGUCUGUUCCAGCCAUCACUGUCUCUGCCCGGCUCCCUAUAGGGCUGUGGGAGGGUUCUGGGAGAGGUUGGGAAUGCCAGGAGGAGGAAUUGGUGAAGCGAAGAAAAGGCAAAAGCCCACUGAGAGGUCUAAUGAGCCCCAGGUGCACACACUUGUGUUGUGUGUGGCUUUCUUCAGGCCCUGGGCAAAUGUGGCAGCCUGGGGUGUAUUGGGAGCAUCAGAACCCAGGUCAAGUCCUGACUCUGCAAUCCAUAAACCAGUUCCGUGACCUUGCCCAGGUCCUUCCUUAGUUUCCUCACCAGUGUGGUGAGAAUAACAAAGAUCUCUUCUCAAACCGUCUCCCUGGGAGUUAAGAGAUUCCCCCAUAUCCGGUGAUCCCAGGUAAAGCACAUGGAAAACCACCAAGUCCUAAAGCAUAGAAGUUCUGAGCAGAGCAGGCCUGAGCUUGUAUGGGGCCUGGUGCUGUGGGGCACCAUGGCAGAUUCCAGCCUGUGGUCAUUAUUGGGUUGCCUGGUGUCCCUAUGGCUCUCUAGCACUGAUGGAAAACAGCCUUAUAUCACUACGUGUGGACAAUAACCCCUCCAGGCUGAGAACUUGGUUUUCAGACUUGUGUAGUCAGAGACCUCUUCCUGGAGGCAGUGUACUUGAGCCAAGCUUUGGAGGCUGCAAUAAUUGAGUAAGUCGGCCAGGCUCACACCUAUAAUCCUAGCACUUUGGGAGGCCGAGGCAAGUGGAUCACCUGAGGUCAGGAGUUCGAGACUAGCCUGGCCAACAUGGUGAAACCCCAUCUUUACUAAAAAUAAAAAUAAAAAAAAUUAGCUGGGCAUGGUGGUGGGGGCCUAUAAGCCCAGCUACUCGGGAGACUUAGGCAGGAGAAUCGCUUGAACCCAGGGGGUGGAAGUUGCAGUGAGCCGAGAUCGUGCCACUUCACUCCAGCCUAGGUAAAAGAGCAAAACUCCAUCCAAAAAAAAAAAAAAAA
This 1589-nucleotide long non-coding RNA is filed under the name Pan troglodytes (chimpanzee). Its description in RNAcentral is "lincRNA". The record is from RNAcentral. Lineage: Eukaryota; Metazoa; Chordata; Mammalia; Primates; Hominidae.